Siniperca chuatsi (mandarin fish) is the source of this 2280-nucleotide long non-coding RNA. RefSeq lists it as uncharacterized. NCBI's taxonomy places the organism in Eukaryota, Metazoa, Chordata, Actinopteri, Centrarchiformes, Sinipercidae. The record is from RefSeq and is a predicted model, not a curated record. The transcript is spliced from 3 exons.
AGCUCGUUCUAGUGUUUGUGGAUUUACUUCAUGGUUUGGUUUAUCUGCCUGACUUCUUUGGACUUGACUCUGCCUGCUCCCCGUCGUAUCUGUUUGCCUGUGUUGGGACUUAUUCCCCGGUUUGACCUCUGCCUUUCCUCACCAUUAAAAUCCCCGAACUGCACCUGCUCCGCCUCGGUGUCUGCGUUUGGGUUCGGCCCCGUGUGUUCCCCGGUUUCCUGCUUGACUAAACGCAACAGGUGUUGAGUUUGGUCUCUCAUGUGGUUCAUUCAGCAUUACAAUGUUUCAAGUUAAAAGGCCAAUCAGAGAAAAACUGCAAAAUGGAAGCGACUGGAAACUAGUGAAUGAAAACAUCUGGAGCAGCAGAGUGUUCUGACGCAAACCUGUCCUGGAGCAUGGCAGUGAGGUCCUGCCCGGUUCGGUGACCAGCAGCAUCAGGAGGAUGUAGCGGCACCGGCCGGCCCUCUGGAGGGACGACACAUACAGGACAUUUGGUGGUUCUGCAUUUCGGGGGUCCCAUUUCUUUGGGUUUUCUUUCUUCUGCCAAAUGGUUUCUAGCCUCAAACCCUGAAUUCAUAAUCGCUUCACACUUCGGAGCAUGUGGAGCUCUCUGGAGUAUUAAAGUUUUUGUAAAGAGGGAGGGGGGUCACACACUGCUGCACACCAGCCUGGAGGCAGCACAAGUAACAUGUCUUUAACUGCGGUAGUCAGUGAUUUUCUAAAAAGGACACACAAUUGAAAAGACCUAAUAGCAACCUUGCAUAUUAAACAGACCCACUGUCAAAGAAGCCAUUACUAUUCAAUGAUAUGAUGGCUUAGAAAUCCACAGUAAUGGUGUCUUUUAAUUCUCUCCCCAGGCUAAUGCAUAUUUACACUUGAAUCUGAUUUUUUUUGCAGGAAAAAUUAGAAGAGGCAGUUUACUCAGAGAGAAAUUCAAUACGUAUACGGCUCAGUGCAUUUAAUCCAAAUUUGACAUGGCAGGUAAAUGAAAGAACCACUGUAAACCAGUGGAACCUGAAAUACUGCAGUUUUCGGCUGUGUCAGAAAUCACUCCCGAGUCCACUCAUUCACUUCUCCCUCCAUAAUAAACACUCGGUUUACUCUAUAGUGAGCAGAAAAAUGUUUCAAUACAAAUGUUUCAGCCUCAGUGCCUGUGAAUGCAAUGUGUUUGUCUCGACACACACCAUCACUGAGCUGCAGGUCCUCAGUCAUUACGUGAUUCGAUUAGAUGCCACAAAAGAUAAUCUGCUACUACAUCAGAUGAGUCAUCGUAAAAGUAUAACCAGCGAUGUCAUAUUUAGCAGGUGUUCAGACCCCAAACAGCCCUGCGUUGAAACAAUACAAGGGGCUGCACUGGUGAGGCCGUGUUGCUUCAGGUACCUGCGAGACACGAAAUACGAUCCAUGAAGUCCAGUUUGAGGGACAGAUCCAUGAGUUCACAUUCAGUUAUUUGUUGCAACGAUUGUGCAAGGUAAAUACUAGAAAUACGGCGUUCAUGUUGCCAGUAAUGUGACCGUGCUUGUAUUUGAUUGGCCAAUGCAACACCUUCGCCAGGUGACAUUGCGUUGUGUUCUGGCAACAGUUGAGCCUGGUUCGACUAUUUAGCCCGACGACCCUGCGUUUUUUUGCCGGAGCCCUCGCUGAGGGGAAUGAGGGCUGAAGUCGGUCUGAACGUGGCUUUAUAAUCAACUUGGAAACGAACAUAUCUUAACUCAAGGUUCACUUUUUUCAGACAGCUGAUGUCUCUUGUCCAGGGUCCUUACUGUUUUUUUUUAAACUUUUUUUGGUGGCAGACAGUAAAUGCAUGGAGCGAGGGGUAUGACACACAGUCCCCUCCGAAACAGCGAGGGUAUACUUUUGCUCACCUUAAAAUUGGGUGAUCCAUUACAAAAGGUGCUAAGUUGUUUAACAGAUCUAGAUGUAAAUACCUGGAGAUAUAAGCUGAAAUGCUGACCUCUUGUCUCAUAUUCCUCUUUGGAUGUCAAACCCAAAUGUUUUCAGCAUGCAGCCAAAAAUAAAGGACUUGGCCUCGCCGAUCCAGUAGUUUCGGAGGGGACUGUACAACAACAGUGGAUAUUUGUGGUAUCUGCCUAAACCAUCAGGACGCCCAGGGCCCUUGCCUGUUUCACAGCUGUCACAUGUGAUGUCAUGAUGAUGUCAUACGUGACUGCUUGAAGCAACCGCUCCCAAAGCUUCUGUGUCAAUUGAAAACGAUGUUGGUGGGACGGAUACAUCACUCACACUACUGACUGUGACUGGUUUGGGCAAAACAAAUGACCC